Molecule: ribosomal RNA, 459 nt
Filed under: uncultured bacterium
Lineage: Bacteria
Description: partial 16S ribosomal RNA
Rfam family: Bacterial small subunit ribosomal RNA
Source: RNAcentral
CUACGGGAUGCUCCAGUAAGGAAUAUUGCGCAAUGGAGGCAACUCUGACGCAGCCAUGCCGCGUGCAGGAAGAAGGCCUUAUGGGUCGUAAACUGCUUUUAUUUAGGAAUAAACCCUCGCUCGUGAGCGAGGCUGAAGGUACUGAAUGAAUAAGCACCGGCUAACUCCGUGCCAGCAGCCGCGGUAAUACGGAGGGUGCAAGCGUUAUCCGGAUUUAUUGGGUUUAAAGGGUGCGCAGGCGGGCUAUUAAGUCAGUGGUGAAAUCCCGGGGCUCAACUCCGGAACUGCCAUUGAUACUGAUAGUCUUGAGUUUGGUCGAAGUGGGCGGAAUGUAGCAUGUAGCGGUGAAAUGCAUAGAUAUGCUACAGAACACCAAUCGCGAAGGCAGCUCACUAAGCCAAAACUGACGCUCAUGCACGAAAGCGUGGGGAUCAAACAGGAUUAGAUACCCGGGUAGUC